This is a long non-coding RNA of Perca fluviatilis (European perch), 710 nucleotides long. RefSeq lists it as uncharacterized. The record is from RefSeq and is a predicted model, not a curated record. NCBI's taxonomy places the organism in Eukaryota, Metazoa, Chordata, Actinopteri, Perciformes, Percidae. The transcript is spliced from 2 exons.
GACCGGUCCACAGUCUGUGCUUCUUUUCCUAGAACUUGUAUUUCUUUCAGAGGACUUUGCAAUAAAUCCAUAUUCUUAGAUCUAAUAUUGAUAGUCUUUUGUCCAUAUCUUAUUCAUUUUAGGUCCUUUUAUUGUCAUUAGCUGUGAUGCUAAAGCAGUUUUAGCUUUCCCAUGAUGCUUUUGAAAGUUUUUGAACAAUCGGAGGAGUUGCUUUCAGGGCCCGUGAAAUAAAGUCAGAAAAAUACACAUUUGACCGACCCACAAUGCUGCAAUUGUUAUGGGCUGGCUCUGUCUUUCCCUGUCCCUACCUGUUUUCCUCUUCCCUUUUUCCCUGUGUUUGUUGUCUGUGUCUGUCUCCACCUGCUGUGGCAGUUCAUGCAGAGGAUCUAGGUCAAGGGGCGUGGCCAUUCUCUCCAGCUCUGUUCCCACCAGCUGCAGCUCAUUCCAUCAAUCAACCAGCAGUUAUCUACCCGGGCUGUUCACCUCUCCAUCGCCAGUUCGUUUCUACACAACCAGUGAUUCCGUUCUGUACCUCCUGCCUGCUGCUCCCACGCUGUGACCUGCUCAUCUGCUCCCUGCUCUCCUCGUCAUCCAGCUCUCAGUGCUGCCGGUUCUCCACACCACUCAGAUCCCAUCCCGGUCUGAAGCCGCUCCACCCCGAACUGUUACUCUCUGCCUAACACGCUGUGUAAAUAAACACCUUAACUGAC